This 85-nucleotide transfer RNA is filed under the name Paracoccaceae bacterium. RNAcentral's name for it is "tRNA-Leu". It matches the Rfam family "tRNA". From Rfam's summary of the family: Transfer RNA (tRNA) molecules are approximately 80 nucleotides in length. Their secondary structure includes four short double-helical elements and three loops (D, anti-codon, and T loops). RNAcentral also lists the same sequence under 2 other names. The record is from RNAcentral. Lineage: Bacteria; Pseudomonadati; Pseudomonadota; Alphaproteobacteria; Rhodobacterales; Paracoccaceae.
GCGGGUGUGGCGAAAUUGGUAGACGCACCAGAUUUAGGUUCUGGCGCCUUCGGGCGUGUAGGUUCAAGUCCUAUCACCCGCACCA